CUCUGGGUGGUACAAACGGUUAAUACAUUUGGCUGCUAACCAAAAAGCUGGAGGUUUGAGUUCACCCAGAAA
This 72-nucleotide transfer RNA is filed under the name Loxodonta africana (African savanna elephant). It matches the Rfam family "tRNA". Rfam says of the family: Transfer RNA (tRNA) molecules are approximately 80 nucleotides in length. The record is from Rfam by way of RNAcentral. Lineage: Eukaryota; Metazoa; Chordata; Mammalia; Proboscidea; Elephantidae.